ACGCUCGACACCUACGUGAGGCAGCAGUGGGGAAUAUUGCACAAUGGGGGAAACCCUGAUGCAGCAACGCCGCGUGAAGGAAGACGGUUUUCGGAUUGUAAACUUCUGUUCUUAGUGAAGAUAGUGACGGUAGCUAAGGAGCAAGCCACGGCUAACUACGUGCCAGCAGCCGCGGUAAUCUGAGGCGGGCUGGCAAGGC
RNAcentral lists this ribosomal RNA (199 nucleotides) under uncultured bacterium. RNAcentral's name for it is "partial 16S ribosomal RNA". It matches the Rfam family "Bacterial small subunit ribosomal RNA", at positions 328 to 539 of the family's 1533-position model. The record is from RNAcentral.